AAAUGACCUUCAUCACAAUGAUUUCCAUCAUAAAAUCUUAUUCUUAUAAGAUUUGAUCUUCAACAACUUUACGUCCCAAACUCUAGAUCUCAUUCAGAACAUGCAUUCGGUGACAAAAGUUCCAAACAAUCCACUCAACUGGUGGAAGGAAUAAGUUAGAUUUGAAGCAAUAUGAAGUGUUGAAUCUCUUUUUUUUUUUUCUUUUUUUUUUUCCAGAACCAAUGAUUUUUCCACUUCUGAAUGCCUCAAAUCAGAAGACAAGGUUGUUAUUUGUGGAC
RNAcentral lists this unclassified non-coding RNA (278 nucleotides) under Hevea brasiliensis (rubber tree). Lineage: Eukaryota; Viridiplantae; Streptophyta; Magnoliopsida; Malpighiales; Euphorbiaceae. The record is from RNAcentral.